RNAcentral lists this ribosomal RNA (376 nucleotides) under uncultured bacterium. RNAcentral's name for it is "bacterial SSU rRNA". It matches the Rfam family "Bacterial small subunit ribosomal RNA", at positions 28 to 399 of the family's 1533-position model. The record is from RNAcentral.
GAUGAACGCUAGCGGGAGGCCUAACACAUGCAAGCCGAGCGGGAUUUCAGAUGUAGCUUGCUACAUUUGAAUGAGAGCGGCGCACGGGUGCGGAACACGUGUGCAACCUGCCUUUAUCUGGGGGAUAGCCUUUCGAAAGGAAGAUUAAUACCCCAUAAUAUAUUUGAUGGCAUCAUUAAUAUUGAAACUCAGGUGGAUAAAGAUGGGCACGCGCAAGAUUAGAUAGUUGGUAGGGUAACGGCCUACCAAGUCUACGAUCUUUAGGGGGCCUGAGAGGGUGAUCCCCCACACUGGUACUGAGACACGGACCAGACUCCUACGGAGGCAGCAGUGAGGAAUAUUGGACAAUGGGUGCAAGCCUGAUCCAGCCAUCCCG